RNAcentral lists this ribosomal RNA (408 nucleotides) under uncultured bacterium. Its description in RNAcentral is "partial 16S ribosomal RNA". It matches the Rfam family "Bacterial small subunit ribosomal RNA", at positions 28 to 526 of the family's 1533-position model. The record is from RNAcentral.
GACGAACGCUGGCGGCGUGCUUAACACAUGCAAGUCGAACGAAGUGGCGAACGGGUGAGUAACGCGUAAUCAACCUGCCCUUCAGAGGGGGACAACAGUUGGAAACGACUGCUAAUACCGCAUACUGAAGGAGGGGAUUGCGUCUGAUUAGCUAGUUGGAGGGGUAACGGCCCACCAAGGCGAUGCUCAGUAGGCGGUCUGGGGUGAUGAACGGCCAAAUGGGGACUGAGACACGACCCAGACUUCUACGGGAGGGCGCAGUGGGGAAUCUUCCGAAAUGGACGAAAGGCUGACGGAGCAACGCCGCGUGAGUGAUGACGGCCUUCGGGUUGUAAAGCUCUGUUAAUCGGGACGCGGUACCGGAAUAGAAAGCCACGGCUAACUACGUGCCAGCAGCCGCGGUAAUUC